GACGAACGCUGGCGGCGUGCUUAACACAUGCAAGUCGAACGGAAAGGCCCUGCUUUUGUGGGGUGCUCGAGUGGCGAACGGGUGAGUAACACGUGAGUAACCUGCCCUUGACUUUGGGAUAACUUCAGGAAACUGGGGCUAAUACCGGAUAGGAGCUCCUGCUGCAUGGUGGGGGUUGGAAAGUUUCGGCGGUUGUGUAUGGACUCGCGGCUUAUCAGCUUGUUGGUGGGGUAGUGGCUUACCAAGGCUUUGACGGGUAGCCGGCCUGAGAGGGUGACCGGCCACAUUGGGAUUGAGAAACGGCCAAGACUCAUACGGGAGGAAGGAGUGGAGAAUAUUGCACAAUGGGCGGAAGCAUGAUGCAGCAACGCCGGGUGCGGGAUGACGGCCUUCGGGUUGUAAACCGCUUUCGCCUGUGACGAAGCGUGAGUGACGGUAAUGGGUAAAGAAGCACCGGCUAACUACGU
Molecule: ribosomal RNA, 467 nt
Filed under: uncultured bacterium
Lineage: Bacteria
Description: partial 16S ribosomal RNA
Rfam family: Bacterial small subunit ribosomal RNA
Source: RNAcentral